CAUGAGUGGUGUUUGGUUUGUUUCGGGUGGUUGGAUGUUUGCUUGCGCAACAACGUCCAUUCGAGCAAGCCUUUUCAUGUUUGCGUCAAGGCAUCUUAGUCCUUGAGCAUCRUUGUGGGUUUCUUGUGUUGCAUUCCUACUUGAAGGCAUUGAAUGAGUUGAUCUUGGUCAUAUUUCAUCUUGUGCUGCUUUGCAGUGUGUGAUGAACCUCGAAGCAUUGUCUUUGGUCCAACUUGUCAUUGUUCACACAUUGACAUUGUGGCCCAUUGAUCAUUGCUUGGUAUCUUGGAUAUGGAACAUGAGAAAGGCAGGAGGGUCGUAACCGAUUUUCUAUUUGCCUUGGUUAAGCGUAAUUGCUUAUUUCUAACGACGGCUUGUUUUGUGUGGUUUUGUCCAUGCAUGACGAGUUAUGUCGAAGAGGAGUGUUACCUGGUUGAUCCU
RNAcentral lists this unclassified non-coding RNA (441 nucleotides) under Erato polymnioides. RNAcentral describes it as "partial contains external transcribed spacer and 18S ribosomal RNA". The record is from RNAcentral. Lineage: Eukaryota; Viridiplantae; Streptophyta; Magnoliopsida; Asterales; Asteraceae.